AUACUUACGUAGCAGGGAGACUACCAUGAUCACAAAGGUUGUUUUCUCAAGGUGAGGCUUAUCUACUAAUCCCAUUAUUUCUCCAAAUGUGGGAAAUUUGAGUAAUUUGUGGCAAUGGGAGGCUGCUCUUGUGCUCUUCACU
Molecule: small nuclear RNA, 142 nt
Filed under: Chinchilla lanigera (long-tailed chinchilla)
Lineage: Eukaryota; Metazoa; Chordata; Mammalia; Rodentia; Chinchillidae
Description: U1 spliceosomal RNA (ENSCLAG00000020019.1)
Rfam family: U1 spliceosomal RNA
About the family: U1 is a small nuclear RNA (snRNA) component of the spliceosome (involved in pre-mRNA splicing). Its 5' end forms complementary base pairs with the 5' splice junction, thus defining the 5' donor site of an intron. There are significant differences in sequence and secondary structure between metazoan and yeast U1 snRNAs, the latter being much longer (568 nucleotides as compared to 164 nucleotides in human).
Source: RNAcentral